This 1692-nucleotide long non-coding RNA is filed under the name Equus caballus (horse). RNAcentral describes it as "lncRNA (ENSECAG00000041788.2)". The record is from RNAcentral. Lineage: Eukaryota; Metazoa; Chordata; Mammalia; Perissodactyla; Equidae.
UGGGCCCACAGUCUACUCACCAAGGCUGCACUAAAUGUCCAACCUGUCAGCAGCAUUGACUAAUGCUAAUCCCUUUGUACAGGAUCAUCUCUCAAGGACACCAACAAUCUACUUGGUGGGAUAAGUUUCCUCCAUUGGACCCCUUCUGUAUUGGAAGAAACAAAGAAUGCAUUUUGACUUGACAACACAUAUUCCGGUGGCAAGAUUAAGAGAUUUUUAACAUCAGCAGAAAUGGAGGCACCCGAGCUAAGUCAAUCUCUGUAAUAGAAAAGGGCUCAAGGAAAGUUUCCUGCAAUACUAGCUGAAAUGGGUCACCAGUUUCUCCUCGUGGGAGGCAACCCAAGACUCUGAUUGCGCUGAGUAAAGCUGGUCAGCUAUUUUACAAGGAAAACACCUGGCACCGAAUCCUGGGCUCUUUAGAGAACUGCUAGCUAAGCCUCUUCCCUGGGGUAAAUUCAGCGAGAAGCGCUGUGAGUCUGAGCUUGCCAGGAUCGUGUGGGCCACACCCAGCAGUUAAUAAGUUGUUCCGAACUCUACGUGCCCCAUCUUAAUAGCUAGUUCUCCUCCCAAUUUGUAGGUUCCCAUAAUCAUGUGGCUACUCAAAUGAGCACAGAGGAAACCACUAACAAUUUGGAGACGAGACAGAGUCCAGAAAAGGAAGAAAAGUCCUGAAAAUAUAAAUUUAGCUUGAGGUGUUCCAUGAACACGAGACAGAGAGCUAGAAUUAGGGUUUGUUCUAAAUUUCAAAAUCGACAAAACAGUGGCUUCUCUGAAAGCAGAGUCAUUUGGAUAAGGAACUCAGUCAAGCUGGCGUCUUCAUGAGUGCAAGGGAACUGAUCAAAGAAUGCAAAACUUCUGAGACUCUUUGGUCCAUCUGGUGACAACUGGUCAGAACAGUUUGCCAUGACAGCCACCUGAGAAAAGCAUUCUGCAAGUGGCUAGGGAAACUAAAGCUUUCUCUUCCCCAAAAUGAUAGUUUCGAGCACUAGCGUUUAACUUAGAACCAGCCCAGCAGUCAGCAGGAAAGAAUAUAAGUAUGGAGAGGGAAGCAGGAGACAGACGAUGUGAAACUUUGAAGUCUGGGAUUUCUUCUAAGCCAAGUUAAAUGAUAUUGCAGAGUUUUAAGCAGGAAAAUUGACAUCAUAUCAAUUACGCUAAUAAAAGGUCGCUCUCUCUGGUUUCGAUGUGGAGAAUGGACAGUUUGCAGGAACUUGAGAGCAGAAGCAAGAAGAGUUGCUGGAACAAAAGCUAGAUGCUAGUGGUUUGGACCAAGGGGUGACAACAGAGAUCUAGGGAAGUGAAGAGAUUCCAAAGGUAUUUAGGAUCAGAGUCUAUAGGGCAGGCUGAUAGAACAGAACGUGUGGAAGGGGAGCAGAAAGGGAGGAGUCAAGAAUUACUUGUAGAUCGAAAGGAAGACUGCAGCACCCGGACUUUUUGUUGCAAUGGGCAAAGCCAGUGUCCACCUUGUAGAAAAUCUAGUCUGCAUUUGCCCCUUCACUCCUACAAGCUCGGGCUAUCCAGUCCAACUAAGUCAAUGCUAUAUAUUUGUUCUAAAUCUUUGCCAAUAUGAGAAAUGAAAAUGGCAUCUUGUUAUAUUUUUUAAAUUAAUAGUGAGGUAAACCACUUGUUCAUGUGUUUGUUGGCCAUUUGUGUUUCUUAUGUGUGUUAAUUGUCUGUUCUUUCUAUCCAUCU